Cinara cedri is the source of this 1869-nucleotide non-coding RNA. NCBI's taxonomy places the organism in Eukaryota, Metazoa, Arthropoda, Insecta, Hemiptera, Aphididae. The record is from the annotation of a GenBank genome assembly.
CAAAUCAAACAUACAUAAUAUUAAUAUACCAAAGAUAAUAACAAAAUUAUAGCAUUAACGGUUUUUAACAAAUCUAACAAUAACCUUGUUAUUCGACAAUAAGAUUUAUUUUAGAAUUUCGGCUGUAUAAUCUAUAUUAUAUAUAUUUUUUUUAAGUACACCUACAUUUAAUAGUAUUUACAUCGAUAUUUAUACAUAUAUCCAAGGUUUUCGCCACAUAAAACCGACGUUUUUUUCGGUUAUAAUAACAAUAAUAAUAAUGAUAAUAGUAUUAAAAACUUUAAAAAAAAAAAAAAAAAACAAAAGAACAAAAACCUUUUUGAGGCACUUCGAUGAAAAACGGUAUACAGUUAUCCGUACAUAAUAGAUGAUAAUAUCGACUCGAAACCACUAUAUAAAAGUAUAAAACUCGACAAGUGUUAAUGUUAGAUUAUAAUAUGUACGAGUAGUUUGUGUGUCGGACAGCAUGUAUUCGAACGUGUUCUGGUGUGAGUAUAGAAAAAAACUGACGAAAAUACUAUGUGUAACGGAUUUUUCUUAUGAUCACGUCAUAACCGAAUGAGUAAACUAACCGAAUUAUUAUAAUGUAGUUAAGAAUAGUAAAACGGACCAAAACGGUUUUUGGCAUAGGGACGCGCGCGCGAUGUCUCCCCCACCACGAAAACGCGUCUCAAAGUCUUAAAUAGGUUUUUGUCGCGUAAAAAAAGUGUGGCGAUUCGUUUAAAUUUUUAUAUGGAAACGAUCAAAAAUACAUCGUCGCGUUACGGAUUAAAAUGCAUAAUAUUUUAUUAUUAGAGUACGGAUAUCAAUAUGCAAAAUGCAUUUUAUUUUUUUUCGAGUUGUCUCUGGUACGCUAUGAUGUAAUAAUUCAUUUCAACUAGACGAUUCGAUUCGUGUGUAACAUACAUUUGUUCCAAUAUCGUUCUUAAGUGACGAUUUUCAUUUUUCACUAUUAUUUUUUAUUAUUCAGUAUUUUUUUUUUUUUUUUACGGCGGGGGGAGAUUAUUGCGGUGAAAAGACUUUUUUGUCAAUUUGUCUAUAAUCAUUGAUACAUUUAGUACUGCGUCAUGGGCCCUAGCAAAAAAAUUUGUAUUUACCAUCACGUUGGAUACGAUUUUAUCAGUAGCGGAUUUGAAGCUCAUUUAAAGGGUCGGUGAACUAGUAUCCUAGGUACUGACUACACAGGUCAAUAUAGAAAGAAGACACUACGGUACUUUUUACGUUCAAAUGUACACCCUUUUCUUCUAGUUACGGUCUUGGAUACCUAUAUAUAAUUCAAGUAAUAAUAAAUACACGGGGUAAAUUGUUACUUUACCCCCCCCCUCAAUUAGCUAUUAAGUUUUAUAUAUGGUCGGAUUGAAUGCGCUAAUAGGGUGGGUUAUUGUCUCCGUCUUACAAACGUGUGACCUAGCAAAUUUGCAUUCAUACAGGGAAAAUAGAGAGAUAUAAUAUGAGUAUGUGAUUAGUAUAUCAUAAUUUAUUAACGCUUACAUCUAACGUUAAAGUUUAAAUAUUGAAAAAAUAAUGCCCACGUUACACAUUUAAUGUUCAUAUCUUUAAGUUUGAUUAUAGGUCAACUCGCUCUAAUAUUAAAACUAACAGCACAAAGUUGUCCCUACGAAACGUAAAUUUGCUGUCGUAGUUUCUAAAACGGAGACAGCACGUCAUGCGGGUAUCAUGUCCUCUUAAUUACGAAAAGUCCUCUAUACUUUUUAACAAUGGAAAUACUCAUUAUAUUACCUACCACUGUCGCGCACUGUGCAGGUCCUAUAUUAAUGCAAAUUUAUUGUUUUUAAUAAAUUAUUAUUAUACAAUGUUAUCAAUACAAAUAUUUACACGUCUGAACUUUAUCUCUUUCUUGGUGCACAU